AACGCUGGCGGCGUGCCUAAUACAUGCAAGUAGAACGCUGAAGACUUUAGCUUGCUAAAGUUGGAAGAGCUGCGAACGGGUGAGUAACGCGUAGGUAACCUGCCUACUAGCGGGGGAUAACUAUUGGAAACGAUAGCUAAUACCGCAUAACAGCAUUUAACACAUGUUAGAUGCUUGAAAGGAGCAAUUGCUUCACUAGUAGAUGGACCUGCGUUGUAUUAGCUAGUUGGUGAGGUAACGGCUCACCAAGGCGACGAUACAUAGCCGACCUGAGAGGGUGAUCGGCCACACUGGGACUGAGACACGGCCCAGACUCCUACGGGAGGCAGCAGUAGGGAAUCUUCGGCAUUGGGGGCAACCCUGACCGAGCAACGCCGCGUGAGUGAAGAAGGUUUUCGGAUCGUAAAGCUCUGUUGUAAGAGAAGAACGUGUGUGAGAGUGGAAAGUUCACACAGUGACGGUAACUUACCAGAAAGGGACGGCUAACUACGUGCCAGCCGCAGC
This 504-nucleotide ribosomal RNA is filed under the name uncultured bacterium. RNAcentral describes it as "bacterial SSU rRNA". It matches the Rfam family "Bacterial small subunit ribosomal RNA", at positions 32 to 518 of the family's 1533-position model. The record is from RNAcentral.